Molecule: ribosomal RNA, 253 nt
Filed under: uncultured bacterium
Lineage: Bacteria
Description: partial 16S ribosomal RNA
Rfam family: Bacterial small subunit ribosomal RNA
Source: RNAcentral
UACGUAGGGGGCAAGCGUUGUCCGGAUUUAUUGGGCGUAAAGCGCACGUAGGCGGAUAUGUAAGUCAGGGGUGAAAUCCCGGGGCUCAACCUCGGAACUGCCUUUGAUACUGCAAAUCUUGAGUCCGGAAGAGGUGAGUGGAAUUCCUAGUGUAGAGGUGAAAUUCGUAGAUAUUAGGAAGAACACCAGUGGCGAAGGCGGCUCACUGGUCCGGUACUGACGCUGAGGUGCGAAAGCGUGGGGAGCAAACAGG